Lutra lutra (Eurasian river otter) is the source of this 5063-nucleotide long non-coding RNA. RefSeq lists it as uncharacterized. The transcript has 3 exons. The record is from RefSeq and is a predicted model, not a curated record. NCBI's taxonomy places the organism in Eukaryota, Metazoa, Chordata, Mammalia, Carnivora, Mustelidae.
CGCGCCCUGGCCGACCGCGGGAGGUCCGGGCCUGCAGGGGCGCGGCGCGGGGGUCCGCGGAGCAGUUGUAGCUCCGAGCGGGACCUGCCGGGCAGCCGCCCCGCCAACCCCUGCGUCCGGCCCCUGGACCUGAUGGGACGCCGAGUGCGGACUGCGGCUCCGCGGAAGGACGGAGAGAAGGUUCUGGCUUCGCUUCAAGGGCCAGAUCAAAGCAAACACCCCUCUUCCUUCUGCGUGUCCUCACCGGACGCGUGACAGGACACCAGGGAAGCUGGAAGGCCUCGUUUUCUGAGACGGACAGGGCACCGAACGAGUCGCCCACUCAGACACGCGGGCCGAGUGAACCCCCCCGGCCCAGCCAGCCACACAUGAGCGCGGGGUCCGCUGACCCUCGGACACCCCUUGCCUGGGGCCACCAGCAGUCUCGCAGGUGGCCACAGCGCAGCUACCCCACUUUCAUGUCCCGGGUGCUCUUUGAGCACCAAACACACGGUGUGGAGGGUGGGCUCCGGAGUCAGGCAGAUGGGAUUCGUCUGGGAGCUCUGCCACUCUCUAGAGCUGUGACCUUGGGUAGGUCAUUUGACCUCCCUGAGCCUCAGCCUCUUCAUCUGUAGAAUAAGAUCAUACAGCUCGUACUUUUGUUCCUGUGAGGUUUACAGGUGCAGUGCUCGGCACUCCGACCAGUCCUGUACAGUUAACACAGAUGUCCUCAGCCGGUAGCUUUGGGGGGGGGCGCUGAAUCCAGCAGUGGCCCAGCCCCCACACGGGGAGGACCGAGAGCUCCCUGCAGGAGUGGGGCGGGCUGCCCUCCAGAGAGAGGAAACCAAGCUGGAUCUGCGUCUUGCCCUGUGGGUGAGAGGGGCAGUGACUAACUAGCUUGCAGGGUGAGGCAGCCGGGGUGGGAUGUGACCGGGAAAUCCCACGGAAAGGGGACCGGCUGGGAGCACUGGAUCUGUGUAGCCGCAGCUCUGUGCACAGGAGGCCAGGGAGGAGGGGGGACAGCCACAGUCCUCAGCUCUGUGAGCCAGGUGUGCAAAAGUGGGGGUGGCCAUGGCCUGUGGUCCCAGAGGACAGAACUGAGCCCGGAUACACCUUGCAGAGACUGAGGGCUGCUAAGUGUCAGGAAGACACAGGGCUGAGCCCCCAGCCUGGGCAGAUGGGACUGGACAAGGGACCGCUACCGUUCCUCAGCAGCUGCUGUCUGUGCUUCUCAGCGGAAAGCUGGGCCCCCAGCCUGACCAUCCUGCACCAGAGCCCGCUGUCCCUUCCGGCCACCCCUGGCAAGGGAGGAGGCUGCCUCUGUCCCCGGCUUCCUUGGGCCAGGCCACUUCCCAAAUCAUAUCCAACGCAUUAAAAUGCCCCACAUUCUACGGUAAACAUUGCUCUAAAAAUGUUUGAAGGCAUUUGUAUAAUCAUGAUGCUAGUAUUUUCUGACUGUGAGGAAUUCAUUUUAAUUUAUGUCUGGUUGACAGUUUCUUGGCAAUCAUCAUGUCUGUGUGGGCACCCUGGCCGAGUGAGAGAAAUCCAGCCCACACAUUGUUUUCAAAGGGAGUGACAUUUCUUAUUGAAGUUUAUUUCUGAGUGACCUGUACACCCCACGUGGGGCUCCAAUUCACGACCCCAAGGUCAGGAGUCGCACACUCUGCUGACCGAGCCAGCCGCGUCCCCUAACAGGACUGACGUUUUUAGGAUUACUGUGACAUUGACAUGACGGUACCUCUUGUAGACAUUUGAUUCAAUGGGUAUUAAUGUGGAUUUUGCUUUUCUCUUGGAGCCCCAGUUUAUCUGUUUUAGGCUACAGACAUUUUGUCGGCCCCUUGAGAGCUGGCCGAGGCACCGGGCCUGCAGAGUCUACAGAACAGACCAUCCUGACCAGGCCGGGAAUGUGGCCCCCACCGUCCUGGGACCCCAGCAAGCCGGACAAAGUGGCCACAACAUCUCAGCAAAGUCCCUGUCCCUGCAGCCCAGCCAAGUAGAAGUGGCCGAGAAUUCAGGACCCACCCGACCCCCUCCUGACCCCCCAGACCUCUCCCAGGCCACCAGCCCUGUCCAUUCCCUCAACCAAGACGCUUUUUUCCUGAAACAAACCCUGCAUUGUGUCACACCGGGGUCGCCAUGCCCGAAGGGGCUACAGGACAGCCCUUAUCUCAGCUCCUGCUGCCCUUCCCCCACCCUCUGUUUGGGCAAGUUCAGUCAGUUUAUGUAAAAUGCUGAACAAACGCAACUUCAGUUCCCGUCCUUUCCAGGCAGGUCCCCUGCUCAAGGCCGUCGUACACGGGAACUCUGCCGGCUCCUGGGUCCUCCCUCGUGGCCCUUCCUCCGUGGCUCAGGUCCCCAAGUCUCCUAGCUGAAUGUCCGCGUCCUGUGGCCAGGGUCCAGCCUGUGUAGUCCCCCCUCCCCAUGUCUAGGACAGGCCUGCUUGGGGCCGCAGGGUCUGCCCCCUCUAGCCUCUUGGAGCCCAGUGACCAGAAGGAAGUGGCCAACCCAGGAGGAAGUGGCUGCUGUUUACCCAAAAGGGGAAAUUUGGGCAGUGAGGGUGCUCCCACAUGGCCAACCUCUGGGCAAGCCCCAGGGACACAGAGCCAGUGACUCAUCCCGGGCCAGUUUCCCUCAAGAGGAAUGGGGUGAGAAGCCUGGCCACGCGCAGCCCCUGUGCCUCUCAGACCCCGGGGGACAAGCCUGCCAGGUCACUGUUAGUGACACAGCAGGAGCCCCGCAGUUCUGCGGGGAGUGCAGAGAGGAGAGACCUCACUGCCUGCUGUGCUGUGUGUUCUCAGACUUGUCUGUGCCCUCUCUGGGCUGCCGUUUCCCACCUGUACUGCCAGGGGCUGGGUGGCCAGCUGAGCCCAGUGGGCCCGUGGGCUUUCGUCCUGCAGCUCCUGGGACCAGUGGACACUCCUCUUUCCAGCUUCUUGAGUGUUUCAGGCAUCACAGCCAACCGAUCCCUCCCUUCUGGGCUCUCUUCCAUCCUGCCCUGUGGUCAGUAUAAGCAUUACCCCGGGGGGUCAUAGGUCUGCGUGUUCCCUGGGCCCUAACCACAGCUCCCCCUCCCCCCCGCCGCCCGGAGAGAUGGCGGGGAUGGAGCCCUCCUGUGCCUGAAGCAGAGAGCAUGGGAUCCUGAGGUGAGGCACAGGGGGAUCUCAGGAGGACCUUGCUGACCCCAGAGCAUGUGUGGAGGAAGCUGGCCUGGGAGGGAGGGGAUUGCAGUUCAGGGCACAGUGCUGGAAAGGGAACCGAGGGAGCAGGGCCGGCGGCAGGGCCCAGGGAGCAGCCCCAUGGGGAGGCCUCACCACGGGCUCUGGGGAGACGGCCGUCCACGUGCACGUCCACACAGCCCCGCACCAUGCCUCCUGCCCUGCAGGGUGGUGGGAGGGAAGGAAGAGGGGCUGUGUGACUCUGGCUGUGCCGCCUGUGCAGGAAGCGUGCUCGGCAGGCAGGGGCGGCUGCGGAGAGGAACCCAAAACCCCUCCCCCACCCUGGCCCCACGGACCCUCUCUCGGCCUGGAUGUGCGGACUCUGGCUUCCAGAAAGCCUAGUUUCCCUACCAAAUGGGCAGGCAAAUCUCCACACCUUGUGAUUGCCUUUCCUAGAGGGAGGUCCCCGAGAUGCUGGCCACUUUCCCAGCCCCAGGGGCCAGGGCUCCAAGGCUCCAACCGGCAGAGGCCUGGCUGCCCCAGGGAGCUGAUGGAGGGCAGAGGGUGGGCAGAGGAGGCCUGCACCGGAGACAGCAGCCCACCUGCCUUCAGGGUUCCCCCCACCCCGGGCCCCCUGUCCGCAGGCUUCCCCCUUCGCAGCCCCCCUGCGAGGCCCAUGAGGGAGGUGGGGGGAGAGGGCCUCCUGGUUGGGCGAAGGGGUCUCCAAAAGGGGUAAGAGGUGCUGACUUAGGCCGAGCAAUGAGGGGAGCAGGGCUGGGGGGUUCCUGAGGGAGGGGUAGGGACAGAAGGACACCCAGCAAGGGCCCACUUGGGGUCUGUUUUGGAGUGCGUUUGGAAGAUAAGGUACAGAACUGGCGUGGCAGGGAAAGGCGCCCCCCCGGGGGGAAGGGCAGAGGCAAAGCUUCGGUUCCGCUGAUGGGGGGGGGGUGGGCAGGGGAGGCCUGGCACUGUGUCCUGCUCAGUCCAGACCAGGCCAGGCCUUCCCGGUCCUGGGUCUGUUUCACACCUCUGCGGUCACCCAGCCUGGGACAGGGAGGGGAGGAAACGGGGUGUAUUUGAAGUGCCUGGUGCAUCAUCGUGGACCUGCCAUGGUGGGGCUCCAUGCUCCCAGCUGUCAGGGGUGGGGGGGAUCCCCCAGGGCCACAGGGCAGGCUGUCGGAGGGGGGGAUCCCAGGGCCAUGGGGCAGGCUGCGGGGGGCGCCAGGGCCGCAGCUGCCACCUGGCCUCUGAGAAGCUGUAGAACAGGGUUCUUAACAUUCGGUCUUUGACCCCGAUCUUCCCAGUGCACUGAGACGGACCUCCACUUGGCUGCCCCUGCUCCUGGCCUCACAGUCUACAGGGUUUCCGCUUUGCCUGGACUCAGACCUCACUGCUGAGACAGAUCAUCUGCGGAGAAAGUUCACUUAUUCUUGACACUAAGACCGAGAGGUGGCGCAUGGGGAGGCCACUGGCGCAAGGGGACGGUCUCCCUUUCUUCCAUGGCACGCCCGAAGGCCAGAGCAGGGGUGCUCGGUCCAAGACAGUCUGUGGAGACUCUGUUUCACUUCCUAGCAGAUAGAGACAUAUGAUUCUGAAAUGACAGUCCCAUUUUACAUUAUUUUAAAAAUGUGUGUGUGUGUGUGUGUGUGUGUGUGUAUUUUUGCUUUGAACUUUUGGGAAAAUACUAUUUUCAUGAUUUUGUUCUGGAAUGAUUUGGCUUUGAGAAUUCAUUUAACUGGUGGCUGGUGAUCACUUCUUGGCAGUUUUCCUGCACACUUGGGGGCUCUGGGGGGGGACCAUCUGACCUCCAAACCGUUUCGGGUGGGAUGACUCCUUUAUGAACCCUUAAUAAAGCUGAUGCAAUUCUGCACUGUACAGACAUUUGUGUACACACUUAUUCAUUGUAAUUUUAAGGUUUUCUCUUUCUGG